AGUCCAGCUGUGACACACAGGAAGUGACAUCGUCGGAACAAAAUGGAGGGAAAACAAAAGAGGCGAUCGAUAGAUCUGAUGGAUGAGGAUGCUGGCCUUUGACAGCUGCAUGGAGAAUAAACUCCAGGGGAUUAGUGCUUCACCUUCCCCUGCGGAGAGCAGCAUGAGUGGCCUGAUGAGAUUCACAUGGCUUUCUGUCUCUGGAGAUCUCACAACCCUUCCAUCAUUUGAAGCAACACCUGCCCUCAGCCGGACGUCUGGACCCUGUUACUGACCCUCACUGUUAAAGCUGAUGUGUUGAGGACACGCUGACCUCCAGCUAUUUUCCAGCUCACAGGAGCAUAACGGUGGUCAGGAGGGAGUGAAAUCACAGGCCGUGUGAUGGGAUCCGGUUUAAGAGCUUUACAAGACACUGCGGCUGACGUGCCGGCCAGAUGUUCACACGCGCACUGGGACAAAACAAGGAUAUCUCUCCAUGCACACACACGCUCUCGGGGACGAUAAGUGGGGCUGGCAGGCCUGGUCAACACCAGAGGGCUUGAGUUGACUCUUGGCUCUCAUAAAUCGUGAGUCGUUGAAGCGUUGCAGCAUUAAUCUUUUUUGCAUGAUGUGAUAAUGAGUCUAUCGCUCACGGGAAGAUGCUUUUAAACGCAGAGGGUUGCCAUAAUGAACGCACACAAUAUACACAUCCACAUUUAGGUUGUACUGUGUCUAAAAAUCUGCACAAAAUUAAAUGUUCAAUUUACACUGCACUUGCUAAUCUUUUAAAUGAUUACCUUUAUCAUAUUUAUAGAAGGAAUAGCCUAAAUCAACUUUUGCACAAGACUAAUAUGAAAUGAUUUCUGGGUGAACCUCACAAAAACAUGCCUAGGUUAUAUUCCACCCCUAAAAUCAAAAGACAAACAAGUUUUGCAUAUAUUGUUAGUAAUUUU
This is a long non-coding RNA of Cyprinus carpio (common carp), 932 nucleotides long. RefSeq lists it as uncharacterized. The transcript has 3 exons. The record is from RefSeq and is a predicted model, not a curated record. Lineage: Eukaryota; Metazoa; Chordata; Actinopteri; Cypriniformes; Cyprinidae.